Armigeres subalbatus is the source of this 358-nucleotide long non-coding RNA. RefSeq lists it as uncharacterized. Lineage: Eukaryota; Metazoa; Arthropoda; Insecta; Diptera; Culicidae. The record is from RefSeq and is a predicted model, not a curated record. The transcript is spliced from 3 exons.
UUCUGAGCAGCUGCCAUGUUUUUUUUUUCAAUGAAAGUAAAUACUGGUUCAGGUGAACCAGCUAGUUUUGCGUUUAGUGUUGAAUAUAAUGUUUUCUCGCACCGAAAAAUUUAAAGUUACCAAUAGUUCCUGUCUUAACGCAUUGCAGCUGACCUUGCAACCUCGCUUGAAACCUUGGACAAAAUUGAUUUGAUUAUUUAAUGCAUGAUUGUUCAUCGUCAAUGUGGAUUUCUAUCUGCACUCGGCUUUACGGAUGCGGAUUCCCGGAUGCCCGGAUGAAUUUUUGUCUCAUCGCCAAUCCAAUCGCUAUGGAUUCAUCAUUACACCAUACACGAAGAGCUAAAUAGUUAAAUCUAAU